UACGUAGGGCGCAAGCGUUGUCCGGAAUUAUUGGGCGUAAAGAGCUCGUAGGCGGCCUGUUACGUCUGCUGUGAAAUCCCGGGGCUUAACCCCGGGCGUGCAGUGGAUACGGGCAGGCUGGAGGCAGGCAGGGGAGAACGGAAUUCCCGGUGUAGCGGUGAAAUGCGCAGAUAUCGGGAGGAACACCGGUGGCGAAGGCGGUUCUCUGGGCCGGUACUGACGCUCAUGCACGAAAGCGUGGGGAGCAAACAGG
Molecule: ribosomal RNA, 253 nt
Filed under: uncultured bacterium
Lineage: Bacteria
Description: partial 16S ribosomal RNA
Rfam family: Bacterial small subunit ribosomal RNA
Source: RNAcentral